CAUUUAUCUGACGACGAAGAGACAGCCCAUUUAUCUAACCAACCCUGAUCUGCCGUAUUCCCACCGCCGCCGGCAGGCAAGCGCCUCCCGCGGCGACCGCUAGCCGCUCCACCCACCGCCACAGCGCGCCUCCUUUCCUACUACGGCCGCGCCCCAGCAUUUCCACCCCGCUCGCGGCGCCCCGACGAUCUGGAUAAGCGACGGCUAACAUUCACCAUCCCGAAGAUCUGGAUAAGCACCAUGGUGCAAGUAUGUUGGCUUGAGAAGCAUCAGAACUAAAGGUUGAAUAUAAGCAAGUGUGAUUCCAACAACUACGAUAUUCUGUGAGGUCGACCUGGUGUCAUACUACUUAAUUAACUCUUGUGUGCCACCAUACCCCUGGUCGCAGUGCCCAUGACUUCAGUCCUAGCAUGUCGCAUGCCACAGCUUCUGCCACCUCACUAUCUUCAACUUGUUGGAGUACUGGCCAACCUCAUGGAACCACAGCAUGGUUCUUCCAUCCCACCCUUAUCUUCUCAAGGAAACACACAUCAGUAUUCUUCAUAUGGUGGUGGAUACCAGAGUGGUAGUACAACAAAAAAGAUUGAUAUCCCAAAUGGAAGAAAUCAUUAUCUUUUGAAAGAUUCAAGGACGUUCGAGGAGUGACUAGUACCAUUGAAGACUUUGCUGAGCGAGGCAAGAAACCUACUUUGAUCAUGUUGAACCCAUAUUUGCAUUACACUUAGAAUUAUUUUUCAUGCAUAAAGUAUUGUUUACUAGUAUUGCUAUUAAGUAAAUUAGCUAGGGUUUAGCUAUGCCCUAUGUGCUUGAUAUUGACACCCCUUUGACAUUCUUAUGCUAAGUAAAUUAGCUAGGGUUUCGCUAUGCUCUAUGUGCUUGAUAUUGACACCCUCCUUUGAUAAUACCGUUCCUUCACCAUGUAGUGGUCACAAAUAAAUGUGGGUCAUAUGUGCAAUUUAAUAGUAUUGCUUAGCCAUGCUAGUCGCAUAAAUCAUAGGACUUGGGAAGAAUUUUUGUUACUCAUAAAUGUUUUACAAAAACCUAAGGGUGUCACUAAUGCCCAUGGUAUGAUUCUGAAAAUAAGGUUAUAUAAAAUGGAGAUGAAGUGGAGAUUUAGUUAGGUGAUUGUGACUUUGACGAGAUAGUCAAAGAUGUUCGGUGGAUUAUAAAUUCUUUAUGUAUAGUAAAUGAGCAUGGUGGUUAUUGUAUUGGCGGAUAAAUGGAUCUUCAAUAAACUUGAAGCAAUUUGGAUUUAGUUAGGCGAUUGUAAUCUUGAACCAAAUUUCAUGGUGGAUUAUAAGCUUUUGAUGCAUUUAUUUAGUUCGUUGUGAUCUUGAGGAGAUAGUCAAAGAUGUUCGGUGCAUUAAUUAAUCUUGGACAAUUUGGAUUUAGUUAGGUGGUUGUGAUAUUGAACCGUAUUUCAUGAUGAAUUAUGAGAUUUUAGGUGGAUUUAGUUACGUGAUUUAAUCUUGAGAAGAUAGUCUAAAUUGUUGGGUUGAUUAUGAGAUUUUAGGUAUGGUAGAUGAGCAUGGUGAUUAUUAUACUGGUGGAUAAAUAGAUCUUUAAUUUUGUUUGGACCAUUUAGGAUUUAGUUAGGUGGUUUAGAUCUUAAACCAAAUUUCACGGUGGAUUAUGAGGUUUUGGUUGAAUUUAGUUAGGUGAUUGUGAUCUUGACGAGCUAGUAAAAGAUGUUUGGUGGAUUAUGUGAAUUUAGGUCUAGUAGGUGAGCAUGGUGGUUAUUAUAUCGGUGAAUAAGUAAUUUUUUAACAAACUUAAGAAAUUUUGGAUUUAGUUAGGCGAUUGUGAUCAUGAACUAAACUUCAUGGUGAAUUACGAUAUUUUAGAUGGAUUUAGUCAGUUGAUUGUAAUCUAGAAGAGAUACUCGAAGAUGUUCGAUGGAUUAAUUAUCCUUUAAUAAUUUGAAUUACGUUUGGCUAUUGUGAUUGAACCGAAUUUCACGAUGAUUUAUGUGAUUUUAGGUGGAUUUAAAUAUGUUAUUAUGAUCUUGAGAAGAUGUCAAAGAUGUUUGGUGGAUUUUAAGAUUUUAGGUCUAGUAUGUGAGCAUGGGGACUUAUAUUGGUGGAUGAAUAGACCUCUAAUUUAGCUUGAAACAAUUUGAAUUUAAUUAGAUGAUUGUGGCCUUUUAACCAAAUUCAUGGUGGAUUUUGAUGUUUAGGUUGGAUUUAGUUAGGUGAUUGUGAUCUUGACGAGAUAGUCAAAGAUGCUCGAUGGGUUACGUCAGAAUUUAUGCCUAGUCUAGUAAAUGAGCAUGGUGGUUAUUAUAUUGGUGGAUAAAUGGAUUUUUAGUAAACUUGGAGUAAUUUGGAUUUAGUUAGGCGAUUGUGAUCUUGAGGGGAUAGUCCAAGAUGUUCGGUGGAUUAAUUAAUAUUUUUUUGAACACAGUACAAGCGCAAGUGCUAUAUAGACGUGCAUACACUCGCCUCUAUGAACACACACACGCACACCCUACACCUAUGAGCAUCCCCGAGAGACUAAGCUGGCUUAUCAUCUUGAGAUUUUACGAAGUCACCGUAGGCGCCUCGUAGUCGACGAGAACAAUUUGGAUUUAGUUCGGUGAGUGUGAUAUUCAACUAAAUUUCUUGGUGAUUUAUUUGAUUUUAGGUGGAUUUAGUUAGGUGAUUGAGUCUUGAAAAGAUAGUCAAAAUGUUCGGUGGAUUAUGAGAUUUUAGGUAUGGUAAAUGAGCAAGGUGAUUAUUAUAUUAGUAGAUAAACAAAUAUUUAAUUUAGUUUGGAUCAAUUUAGAUUUAGGUAGGGAUUGUGAUCUUUUAAUCUAAUUUUACAAUGGAUUAUGAGGUUUUGGUUGGAUUUAGUUAGGUGCUUGUGAUCUUGACAAGGUAGUUAAAGAUAUUCGAUGGAUUAAUAUGUCUAGUAAGCGAGCAUGGUGGCUAUUACAUUGGUGGAUAAAUGGAUCUUUAAUAAGCUUGAAGAUAUUUGAAUUUAGUUAGGCGAUUGUGGUCUUGAACCAAAUUUUAUGGUGGAUUACGAGAUUUUAGCUGGAUUUGAUUAGUUGAUUGCGAUUUUGAGGAGAUAGUAAAAGAUGUUUGGUGGAUUAAUUAAUCUUGAAUAAUUUGGAUUUAGUUAGGUGAUUGUGAUUUUGAAGCAAAUUUCUCGGUGAUUUAUGAGAUUUUAGUUGGAUUUAGUUAGGUGAUUGUGUCUUCAAAAGGUAGUCAAGGACGUUCGGUGAUUAUGAUAUUUUAGGUGUAGUAGACGAGCAUGAUAAUUAUUAUAUUGGUGGAUAAAUAGAUAUUUAAUAUAGUUUGGAACAAUUUGGAUUUAGUAUGGUGAUUGUGAUUUUUAACCAAAUUUUAGGGUGGAUUAUGAGGUUUUGAUUAGAUUUAGUUAGGUGAUUGGGAUCUUGACGUGCUAGUAAAAGAUGUUCGGUAGAUUAUGUGAAUUUAGGUCUAAUAGGUGAGCAUCUUGAUUAUUAUAUUGGUGGAUAAAUAAAUUUUUUAUAAACUUGGAAAAAUUUGGAUUUAGUUAGGCAAUCGUGAUCUUGAACCAAUUUUAUGGUGGAUUGUGAUCUUGAGGAGAUAGUCAAAGAUAUUCGAUGUAUUAAUUAACUUGAACAAUUUGGAUUUAGUUAGGUGAUUCUGAUAUUGAACUAAAUUUCUCUGUGAUCUAUGAGGUUUUAGUUGGAUUUAGUUAGGUGAUUGUGUCUUCAGAAGAUAAUCAAAGAUGUUUGAUGGGUUAUGAGAUUAUAGGUCUAAUAAAUGAGCAUGGUGAUUAUUAUAUAGUUAGGUGAAUGUGAUUUGAUGAGCUAGUAAAUGAUGCUCGGUGAAUUAUUGUGAAUUUAGGUUUAGUAGGUGAGCAUGUUGAUUAUUAUAUUGAUGGAUAAAUAAAUCUUUAAUAAAUUUAAAACAAUUUGGAUUUAGUUAGACGAUUGUGACCUUGAACCAAAUUUCAUGGUGGAUGAUGAGAUUUUUGAUGGAUUAGUUAGUUGAUUGUGAUCUUCAAGAGAUAGUCAAAGAUGUUUUGUGGAUUAAUUAAUCUUGAACAACUUGGAUUUAGUUAAGUGGUUGCGAUACUGAACCGAAUUUCACGCUGGAUUAUGAGAUUGUAGGUGGAUUUAGUUAGGUGAUUGUGUCUUGAGAAUAUUGUCAUACAUGUUUGCUAGUCUGAGAUUUUAGAUUUAGUAGAUGGGAAUGGUGAUUAUUAUAUUGGUAGAUAAACAAAUCUUUAUUUUAGUUUGGAACAAUUUUGACUCAGUUAGGUGAUUGUUAUCUUUCAACCAAACUUACGGUGGAUUUUGAGAAUUUUUUGGAUUUAGUUAGGUGACUGAUCUUGACAAGAUAGUCAAAUAUGUUUGGUGAAUUAUGUUAAUUUAGGUCUAGUAAGUGAGCAUGGUGGUAAUUAUGUUGGUGGAUAGAUGGAUCUUCAGUAAAAAUGAAGCUUUUUGGAUGUAGUUAGGUGAUUGUGAUCUUGAACAAAUUUCACGGUGGAUUUACGAGAUUUUUAAUAGAUUUAGUUAGUAGAUUGUGAUCUUGGGGGAUGCCAAAGAUGUUCGGUGGAUUAUAAUCUUGAACAGUUUCGAUUUAGUUAGGUGAUUGCAAUAUUGAACCAAAUUUCUCGGUGAUUUAUGAUAUCUUAGUUGGAUUUAGUUAGAUGAUUGUGUCUUUAGAAGAUAGUCAAGGAUUUUCGGUGGAUUAGGAGAUUUUAGGUCCAGUAGAUGAGCAUGGCGAUUAUUAUAUUGGUGGAUAAACACAUAUUUAAUUUAGUUUGGAACAAUUUAGAUUUAGUUAGGUGAUUGUGAUAUUGAACCAAAUUUCUCUUUGAUUUAUGAGAUUUUAGUUGGAUUUAGCUAGGUGAUUGUGUCUUGAGAAGAUAGUCAAAGAUGUUUGGUGGAUUAUGAGAUUUUAGGUCUAAUAGAUGAGCAUGGUGAUUAUUAUAUUGGUGGAUAAAUAGAUAAACUGAUAUUUAAUUUAGUUUGCAAUUUGGAUUUAGUUAGGUGAUUGUGAUCCUUUAACUUAAUUUUACGAUGGAUUAUAAUGUUUUGGUUGGAUUUAGUUAGGUGAUUGUGAUUUUGACGAGCUAGUAAAAGAUUUUCGGUGGAUUAUGUGAAUUUAGGUCUAGUAGGUGAGCAUGUUGAUUAUUAUAUUGGUGGAUAAAUGGGUCUUUAGUAAACAUGGAGCAAUUUGGAUUUAGUUAGGCGAUUGUGAUGUACUACAAAUUUCAUGGUGGAGAUUUGCAAUGGAUUUAGUUGAUUGUGAUCUUGAGAAGAUAGUCAGAGAUGUUCGGUGGAUAAAUUAGUCUUGAACAAUUUGAAUAUAUUUAGGUGAUUGUGAUAUUGAACCAAAUUUCUCUUAUGAUUUAUGGGAUUUUAGUUGGAUUUAAUUAGGUGAUUGUAUCUUGAGAUGAUAAUCAAAUAUGUUUGGUGGAUUAUGAGAUUUUAGGUCUAGUGGAUGAGCAUGGUGAUUACUAUAUUGGUGGAUAAGCAUAUAUUUAAUUUAGCUUGGAGCAAUUUGGAUUUAGUCAGGUGAUUGGGAUCUUGACGAGCUAGUAAAAGAUGUUCGGUGGAUUAUGCGAAUUUAGGUCUAGUAGGUGAGCAUGUUGGUUAUUAUAUUGGUGGAUAAAUAUAUUUUUAAUAAACUUGGAAAAGUUUGGAUUUAGUUAGGCGAUUGUGAUCUUGAACCAAGUUUUAUGGUGGAUUAUGAGAAUUUUGAUGGAUUAGUUAGUUGAUUGUAACCUUGAGGAGAUAGUCAAAGAUGUUCGGUGUAUUAAUUAAUCUUGGACAAUUUGCAUUUAGUUAGGUGAUUGUGAUAUUGAACAAAAUUUCUUCGUGAUUUAUGAGAUCUUAGUUGUGUUUAUUUAGAUGAUUGUGUUUUGAGAAGAUAGUCAAAGAUGUUUGGUGGAUUAUGAGAUUUUAGGUCUAAUAGAUGCGCAUGGUGAUUGUUAUAUUGGUGGAUAAAUGAAUCUUGAAUAAAUUUGGAUUUAGGUGGAUUUAGUUAGGUGAUUGAGUCUUGAAAAGAUAGUCAAAAUGUUCGGUGGAUUGUGAGAUUUUAGGUAUGGUAAAUGAGCAAGGUGAUUAUUAUAUUAGUAGAUAAACAAAUAUUUAUUUUAUUUUGGAUCAAUUUGGAUUUAAGUAGGGAUUGUGAUCUUUUAACCUAAUUUUACAAUGGAUUAUGAGGUUUUGGUUGGAUUUAGUUAGCUGCUUGUGAUCUUGACAAGGUAGUUAAAGAUGUUCGAUGGAUUAAUAUGUCUAGUAAGCGAGCAUGGUGGCUAUUACAUUGGUGGAUAAAUGGAUCUUUAAUAAGCUUGAAGAUAUUUGAAUUUAGUUAGGCGAUUGUGAUCUUGAACCAAAUUUUAUGGUGGAUUAAUUGCGAUUUUGAGGAGAUAGUAAAAGAUGUUUGGUGGAUUAAUUAAUCUUGAAUAAUUUGGAUUUAGUUAGGUGAUUGUGAUAUUGAACCAAAUUUCUCGGUGAUUUAUGAGAUUUUAGUUGGAUUUAGUUAGGUGGUUGUGUCUUCAAAAGAUAGUCAUGGACGUUCGGUGAUUAUGAUAUUUUAGGUCUAGUAGACGAGCAUGAUAAUUAUUAUAUUGGUGGAUAAACAGAUAUUUAAUAUAGUUUGGAACAAUUUGGAUUUAGUAUGGUGAUUGUGAUUUUUAACCAAAUUUUAGGGUGGAUUAUGAGGUUUUGAUUAGAUUUAGUUAGGUGAUUGGGAUCUUGACGUGCUAGUAAAAGAUGUUCGGUAGAUUAUGUGAAUUUAGGUCUAAUAGGUGAGCAUCUUGAUUAUUAUAUUGGUGGAUAAAUACAUUUUUUAUAAACUCGGAAAAAUUUGGAUUUAGUUAGGCAAUUGUGAUCUUGAACCAAUUUUAUGGUGGAUUAUGAGAUUUUUGAUGGAUUAGUUAAUUGAUUGUGAUCUUGAGAAGAUAGUCAAAGAUAUUCGAUGUAUUAAUUAACUUGAACAAUUUGGAUUUAGUUAGGUGAUUGUGAUAUUGAACUAAAUUUCUCUGUGAUCUAUGAGAUUUUAGUUGGAUUUAGUUAGGUGAUUGUGUCUUCCGAAGAUAAUCAAAGUUGUUUGAUGGGUUAUGAGAUUAUAGGUCUAAUAAAUGAGCAUGGUGAUAUUAUAUUGGUGGAUAAACAAAUAUUUAAUUAGUUUGAAACAAUUUGGAUUUAGUUCGGUGAUGAUGAUCUUUUAACCUAAUUUUAUGGUGGAUUAUAAGGUUUUGGUUGGAUUUAGUUAGAUGAUUGUGAUUUUGAUGAGCUAAUAAAAGAUGUUCGGUGGAUUAUGUGAAUUUAGGUCUAGCAGGAGAGCAUGUUGAUUAUUAUAUUGGUGGGUAGAAGUAAGGGCCACACGAGUGACUCAAGGCGAUGAUGCCACUACUGAAAAUAACUGGUAAACACGGCAAGAGAGGCGGAGAGACUGGGGGUGAUGGCAGUAGAUGGACUUUGAUCCAGCAUCCUACCUACCAGUGCACUUUCCGUUCCCCGCUGAUCCGGCUUGGUGUCCUUGUCUUGUUUCCGGAUUUGUGUCACGCACUUGAUUAAGCAUCCGACGUUCUCCUAAUGUGUGCCCUUGGCCUUGACGAUAGGUAGCGCCGUGUUCUCGGGCGCGUCCCGUGGGUAAAAUUCAGGUAUGCGUCGAUUGUCUGAGCUCUUGCUCGCCAUUAUGCUGCCUAGAAAGGGAACAUGGGAUGUGGGAUCAAGACAGCACACAUAGCAACCCGCCACCAGGCAACGGACGCCCAUCCGGACUUACAGGGAGCGGAGGUGGACACAAAGGUGGAUGUUGAGCUCCAUAGUAGUCUCAACAGUGUGCUCAUCAGUAAGAGCAGCACGAGCAAGAAGAUCCUGGAUAUACUCCUCUUAGGAAAUAAAGAAGCCAUUAGAGGUAGAAGAAACCUCAAUCUCAAGGAAGUAGUGACUUAAGUAAACAUGGAGCAAUUUGGAUUUACUUAGGCGAUUGUGAUCUUGAACAAAUUUUAUGGUGCAUUAUGAGAUUUUUCAAUGGAUUUAGUCGAUUGUGAUCUUGAGGAGAUAGUCAAAGAUGUUCGGUAUAUUAAUUAAUCUUGAAGAAUAUGGAUUUAGUUAGGUGAUUGUGUCUUGAGAUGAUAAUCAAAGAUGUUUCGUGGUUCAUGAGAUUUUAGGUCUAGUAGAUGAGCAUGGUGAUUAUUAUAUAGUUAGGUGAAUGUGAUUUUGAUGAGCUAGUAAAAGGAAGUAGUGACUUUAGUAAACAUGGAGCAAUUUGGAUUUACUUAGGCGAUUGUGAUCUUGAACAAAUUUUAUGGUGCAUUAUGAGAUUUUUCAAUGGAUUUAGUCGAUUGUGAUCUUGAGGAGAUAGUCAAAGAUGUUCAGUGUAUUAAUUAAUCUUGAAGAAUAUGGAUUUAGUUAGGUGAUUGUGUCUUGAGAUGAUAAUCAAAGAUGUUUCAUGGUUCAUGAGAUUUUAGGUCUAGUAGAUGAGCAUGGUGAUUAUUAUAUAGUUAGGUGAAUGUGAUUUUGAUGAGCUAGUAAAAGAUGCUCGGUGAAUUAUUGUGAAUUUAGGUCUAGUAGGUGAGCAUGUUGAUUAUUAUAUCGAUGGAUAAAUUUAAUCUUUAAUAAAUUUAAAACAAUUUGGAUUUAGUUAGACGAUUGUGACCUUGAACCAAAUUUCAUGGUGGAUUAUGAGAUUUUUGAUGGAUUAAUUAGUUGAUUGUGAUCUUCAAGAGAUAGUCAAAGAUGUUUUGUGGAUUAAUUAAUCUUGAACAACUUGGAUUUAGUGAAGUGGUUGCGAUACUGAACCGAAUUUCACGCUGGAUUAUGAGAUUGUAGGUGGAUUUAGUUAGGUGAUUGUGUCUUGAGAAUAUUGUCAUAGAUGUUUGCUAGUCUAUGAGAUUUUAGGUUUAGUAGAUGGGAAUGGUGAUUAUUAUAUUGGUAGAUAAACAAAUCUUUAUUUUAGUUUGGAACAAUUUUGACUCAGUUAGGUGAUUGUUAUGUUUAAACCAAAUUUACAGUGGAUUUUGAGAUUUUUUUGGAUUUAGUUAGGCGAUUGUGAUGUAGUACAAAUUUCAUGGUGGAGAUUUGCAAUGGAUUUAGUUGAUUGUGAUCUUGAGAAGAUAGUCAGAGAUGUUCGGUGGAUAAAUUAAUCUUGAACAAUUUGAAUAUAUUUAGGUGAUUGUGAUAUUGAACCAAAUUUCUCUUAUGAUUUAUGGGAUUUUAGUUGGAUUUAAUUAGGUGAUUGUGUCUUGAGAUGAUAAUCAAAUAUGUUUGGUGGAUUAUGAGAUUUUAGGUCUUGUGGAUGAGCAUGGUGAUUGCUAUAUUGGUGGAUAAGCAUAUAUUUAAUUUAGUUUGGAGCAAUUUGGAUUUAGUCAGGUGAUUGGGUUCUUGACGAGCUAGUAAAAGAUGUUCGGUGGAUUAUGCGAAUUUAGGUCUAGUAGGUGAGCAUGUUGGUUAUUAUAUUGGUGGAUAAAUAUUUUUUUAAUAAACUUGGAAAAGUUUGGAUUUAGUUAGGCGAUUGUGAUCUUGAACCAAAUUUUAUGGUGGAUUAUGAGAAUUUUGAUGGAUUAGUUAGUUGAUUGUAAUCUUGAGGAGAUAGUCAAAGAUGUUCGGUGUAUUAAUUAAUCUUGGACAAUUUGCAUUUAGUUAGGUGAUUGUGAUAUUGUACAAAAUUUCUUCGUGAUUUAUGAGAUUUUAGUUGUGUUUAUUUAGAUGAUUGUGUUUUGAGAAGAUAGUCAAAGAUGUUUGGUGGAUUAUGAGAUUUUAGGUCUAAUAGAUGCGCAUGGUGAUUGUUAUAUUGGUGGAUAAAUGAAUCUUUAAUAAAUUUGGAAUAAUUUGGAUUUAGUUAUCCGACUGUGAUCUUGAAUCAAAUUUUAUGGUGGAUUAUGAGAUACUCCACGCAUCUCCUGCGCCCCGCAACCCUCUCCUUCGCAGCACAGCAGGAGCAGGAGCAAGGAUGCCGAGGCGGUUCAGGGAGCUUUGGAUGGUGGUCUUGAUCUUCCGCACAGUGACAAGAGAUUUGCUGGCUUCAAGAAGGAUAAGCAGCUGGGCGCUGAGGUUCACCUCAAAUACAUCUAUGAAGGUCAUGUUGCUGACUACAUGAAGUCAAUAGCUGAUGAGGAACCUAAGAAGUACCAAUCUCACUUCAGUGAGUACAUCAAGAAGAACUGAAGAAGAUCAAGGGUUACAGAUGCCAGUGCCACAAGGCUUGCCUAACAAAGGUUCCCAGAAAAGGAAUGGUUUGACAAAAAAAGGCUUUGCUCUCCAGGUGCAGAACACUUUCCCACUCCCCAUCGAUGACGAUCUUCCUGGUAGCUCUUUUAGUACCACAGAAGUUAUUCCGAAAGGUCAUUAAGCUUAUUCUAAUGCCAACUUCUGUAGAGGUGCUUGUCUUAUUACAGUAUGUUCCUUUUGACAAAUCAACAGAAGUGUACAAAAUUCAUUUAAAUGGGUUCGCAAGGUAUUUUCAUUAGCAAUGCCACAAGGCAUCAGAAAGCACAAGUAGCGAGAUUGUGUUAAAUUAAUCUGCUAGAGUAUGGUGAUAACAGAGGGGCACUGUUUUUGAAAAUUGUUUUUUCUGUUCCAAUUGUAUAGGGCCCUCCGCAAGGAUAUUGAUUCAUCAGGUGUAGAUGUUUAGUUGGACAGAUAUUGUUCGUCAGUUUCUUAGUGCGUGCCUAGCUGUUUCCCCUUUUUACAUUGCUUCUUUUCUGUAGGAUUUCUUGAAACAUACUCCCUCCGUUCCAAAAUAGAUGACCCAACUUUGAACUAACUUUGUACUAAAGUUAGUACAAAGUUGAGUCGUCUAUUUUGGAAUGGAGGGAGUAAUAACUUGCUUCCACAAUUGUAGAAUGAUCAUGGUUUCUUUGCAUUCCUGUACUUUCAUACGAUUAACAAUUUCAUGGCUAUCCUAGGUAACAAACAGACAUCAUUGGCAUUAGCCAAUGCAUUUGCGUUAAAUGCCCUGCUGGCCGAGUGCAACUUCAUUCUUCUUUAGUGGGUAUUUGUAUUUUCCAAAAAGAAGUUGGUGCACCUCAUAGUUGUUUUGUAGCCUGACUAUUAUGCCUAGAUUUUGCUCUAUGAUACAGAACUAAGUAGUUAACUAUGUCAGUUGGCUAUCUGUGUUGCUUCAUAGUUAUGGAAAAACAGGGUAGAGCUCUAAUGACUACUCUCCUCAAUCAAUCUACAAGAGCCAAGAUUAUCUUUUAAGUAGAUUCCAUAUCUUUGAACAACAGAUUCUGAUUCUUUUACAGAGAUGUUUUAAUGCAUUUUUUAUCAGUUGCGCUACUACAUUUUACUAAUGAUUUGAGCUGCCUUAUUCCCACAUAGCGACUAUCUAAUUUUUAACAUCAAGGACGGGGCGUCGACCCGUUGGCUGGGCAGCUGGGGUAGCUGCCAGCCCACCCGAGUUCGAGCCCCGGCUUUGACGCGUGGUGCUCGCGGAGUUUCUCCUAUAAAAAAAUGCCAACGAGGGUUAGCCCUUGGGUUGGUCUUACUUUAAAAAAAAAUUUAUUGACAUCCGCUCAAAUAAAUAUACAAGAGUUGUAUGAAAGGGAACCACUCAUCUUUUUAACAAGAAAUAUGUUUAGCGUCAUAACAAUGUUCAGGACGCACAUGCAUGCCAGAACACUGAGGGGGGUGGUCUUACAAAUGACAACUACUUACAUGUUAGUAAUUUCUUCUGUUUGACAUAUUCCACGACCCUUCUUGCUAGCUCCAGUCAUUCAAUUUAUCAUUAUAUCCACCAUAUUUUUAUGCUCGGCAUUCCUAAUUUGCCGGUCACAAGAAACUGUAGUAUAAUGUCAGGUCGCACAUUCUUUUUGUUUCAUGGUUCAGUACAGGUCUCAUGGUGAGCAGCAGCUCUAGGUUGCAGUAUAAUGUCAACUGAUUGCAACAUCCUGAGUUAUUUUAUCGAUGUUUUUUAUCUGGAAACUUGAAUCUCUUUCAACUUUCAGUACACAUAUAUUCUGAUCUGUGCAUAAGGAAACUCACAAGUUUGUGUCCAUCUUUUUGGUUGUAAUCAUAUGGCUUGCAUAUUUUAUCGGACUGAUGAGCCACAAAGAUCGGACUGAUCAUAUUUGGUACAGAAGAUCAAAAGAAGCAUUUAUAUCAUCUUUUUGUGUGCUUUAUCUGUAGAAAAGUACCAUGGGUUGAUGGUGUUGGAUCCAAUUACUAUUUGAUGUAAUUGACUGCUAUUCCUAAGAACUGCUCCUGGACACAGUGCUCUAUGUUAUCAUGUCUUGCAUUCUGUUGUGUCGCCUAUAUAGUUACUCGGAUCUUACAUUUCGAUUUUUGUAUUUUUAUCGGUGCAAGUGUUGUCUUCCUACUAUCAAACAACAGGGAUUUCUUUAAAUUAAAUUGUACAUGUUGUCGAAAAUUAUCCUGUGUAUGUCUAUAUUCAUGCCUACUAUAAAACAAACAUUCUUCAUUGCCUAAGCCUUUUCCUUCUGUUAAUGAUGAUAAUGCAGCUCUCCAUCUUAUUAAUUCCUUCUUCAUUCACUUGAAAUAUUGCCUAAUUUUUUUCUGUGUGUAUUUGGUUUAGAACCCUGACUUAUGGUCAAACUGAAGGUGCUUAGCAUGGUCUAGUAUGCAUUUCUCAGUUUCUCUUGAUUUCUGUUUUUGUUUCAUUUCAUUUUAAGCCGAUUGUAUUUGCAUACAUAUUGGAGAGGUUAUUUCUCGUGUGAAGUUACUAUUUUUUUCCAGUUCUGAAGCACCUUCCUCAACUUUUGAUGGUCUACUUUACAAGAGAAAAUAUUUCUCUGUUUGUAUGGUGCAGGUUUCUUUAUGGUCUACUUUACAAGAGAAAACAUUUCUCUGGAAGGAGCUGCUGACAAGGCUUAACAACAAACUGGACGGAGUUCUUCACAUGGCAAACAUAGAUGAAGGAACGAUGUAUGCCUUCACCUUCAGACGCAAGGCAAAGUGCCUCCGCCUCUGUCUAACUGCUCACUCCCUAUGAGGACACCAUCGUAAACCUUCGGUGUCACCUAUAUAUAGCUUGUGUACCAGACUUCAUGUUUAUAAUGCUCUUAUAUCCAAAAACAAAAUUCCCACCACCUCUGCGGCUGGCGCACGAUUUUUUUUGGUGCAGGUAUUGCGAGCUAAUCCUACCCCCUCCCCACAGUUUCUGGAAAACGUGGGAUCCAUUACCAGCAGUAUCAAGAUCGGGGGCGAGGGCCGAGCAGUUUCGGCGGCGAGCGGGCGAUUUCGCGUUGGGCGCCCUCGUCGGCAUUGGCUUUCAGCCAUGGAGGAAUCGACGCCUCAGCUUCACGAUGAAACGUUACAGCGUCUCCACCGCCACCGCUUCUGCCCUGAGGUUAUUUGGCGGUGGGCAGCAGCGUGUGAAAUCUACUGCAGAGGAGUUGGGCAUUUUCCUACCGGUGGAAGACCUGCAUCCAGCCCCACAAGUCCUUUACUAGCCCUCCUUGCCGCAGUUCCAUCCUCUACCGUCAGGCCAGGCUGCAUUUUGGCAUGGUUUUUUACUCCAACCGACUCAAGUCUGCUCAGAACACAAACCACAUGAUGUGUCGAGGUAUCCUUGUCUUCUGGCUCCUUGCGAUGCCACUGGUGUACGGCGACGGAGCCUUGGCUGGUGACUGCUGCCACGGGACCUUGAAACUGGACCUAAGCAGUGUGUUCCAGGAUGAGCGCAGUGGCCCUAAAGCCGGGUGCAGUCUGUGAAUGAAGAUAUGUCAAAUGACACUACAUCUCUUGAAGCUAUCCGAUAAAUGGAGAACGUAGGCCAUAGCCAAAACUGAAGUUAGUGACCUCAAUUGCUGUCACAUGAAGAAACUUAGAGCAGGAAAAUGUAUAUGUAAGAAUCAACUUGGGGUGGCAAACAUACCAGCCGGAAACAUUUUAAGGGCUGGUUCGUUGCAGCAAGGUAUGCAACAUUAUAAUGCUAAGCUACUCACUUGGACAAUGAGAUCAUGAAUUCAACUCUUAUGAAAAUUGAAGAACUGACAGAUUCUUGUACAAUCUCGAUGCGGAUACAUUUAACAUGAGAGAUGAAACAACUCUGAAUCCAAAGAGCAAUGGAAGUCAAAAUCAGCAACUAACUGUGGCCUGUAGCUUGUUCACCGCCAUCAGACAAUCUGAAGCCAGAAUCAUCACUCGUCGAUAGCCUUCCGACACAGCAAAAUGCAGACCUUUGGUCAAAGCCGCUAUUGCUUCAGCCAGUUCUUGGAUGAUGACCCCUUGAAGAGUCUGAACAACGCGAGCCAGGACAUCACACCCCCACGCCCAUCAUUUGAUCAUUCAAUGAAGUACUGCAGCAUCAGCAUUCUUGGCACUAUCGAUGAUGGCUCACACCUGGAGGUAGACACCGGGGAAACAAGACGCUGUUGGAUCAUAUCAAUAUAAGCCUCCUGAUCUUAUGCACAACCCUUUGUAGUACAGGACCACCUUUGCUUUUUCGAGCCUCAUUGGGUGCGUCCCCUGGGAAUUGAUAUGUAACAACAAUAGUAAUGGAUGUUUCUUUUAUUUGACUA
Non-coding RNA from Triticum urartu, 14415 nucleotides. Lineage: Eukaryota; Viridiplantae; Streptophyta; Magnoliopsida; Poales; Poaceae. The record is from RefSeq and is a predicted model, not a curated record.